AAAAUAAACUGUAUCUGAGAGCCCUUAAGGAGAAAACAGAGAAAUAUGUAUGUACUGAAAUAAGUCUCCCAAGAAUUUGAUCAGAUUUAUUUGAUCCUAUGCAGUAUUCAUCUUUUAGCUUGCUCCACUAGGCUCCCCAAGGUUGGCACUUCUAGGAUCAAUGGUUCUCUAAACAGGUAAGGAUUAGUGUUAGGUUAGGGUUAGGGCUAGCUUUAGAGCUAGUGUUAGGGUUAGAGUUUGUUUUGUUCAAAUUUCUUUGAUACUGGGAAGGAUUUAUCUUUUACCUAGCCUUAUUAUGUGCCCCAGUUUGGGGCCUUCU
RNAcentral lists this long non-coding RNA (319 nucleotides) under Marmota monax (woodchuck). Lineage: Eukaryota; Metazoa; Chordata; Mammalia; Rodentia; Sciuridae. The record is from RNAcentral.